Molecule: long non-coding RNA, 632 nt
Filed under: Homo sapiens (human)
Lineage: Eukaryota; Metazoa; Chordata; Mammalia; Primates; Hominidae
Description: HSALNT0333532
Source: RNAcentral
CAGUCUCUGUGGCCAGUCUUCCUGGAUCAACAAGAGCCUUGUAGUUUCCCAUUUUUCAUGUGCUAAUAGUGAAAAUGUUUAGAAAGCCCCAUCUAUCCUCCCACAUUGGCAUCCCACUGAUGUGCUGUCCUGGUUGCUAGGUGCAGAUUUAGGUUCCAAGCAGAACACUGCUAGUGUUCUCUGCAGUUUGUUGUAGAAUCAUAGUGUCUUGGCAACCAAAGGCAGAUCUGGUGCUAUGGAGGACCUGCUUACUGCUAUGAGGUGUUACUUUAUAGAGGUCCUGGAGAAGCUGAUUGAGGCCACGUCAAUGUUGCAAGGAGACAUGAGACUCACAUCAGAGUUCUAUGGCUUAACAUGGGGGAUGGUGGCUGGUGAAAAAAUAUAUAAGAUAAGCCUGGAGGAGAAGGACCAGUAAUACCAGAAAUCAAGGAGGGGCCUUGAAGAGAAAAGGAUAGCAAAAGGAUGAAGACCUGUCCAAGACCCAGCAGCCAGCAUGAAAGAGCUCUCAAUGGGGAAAGCUGGAACAAUUUCAACAACAAAAUAAAUAACAUAUCACUGGAUUAUAAUCUGAAGUAUAAAAAGUAUGAGUCCAUACUGUUAAAUGAUUGAAUAAAUACAUAAAUGGAGAAGAA